RNAcentral lists this ribosomal RNA (492 nucleotides) under uncultured bacterium. Its description in RNAcentral is "partial 16S ribosomal RNA". It matches the Rfam family "Bacterial small subunit ribosomal RNA", at positions 29 to 507 of the family's 1533-position model. The record is from RNAcentral.
AGUGAACGCUGGCGGUAGGCCUAACACAUGCAAGUCGAACGGCAGCACAGUAAGAGCUUGCUCUUACGGGUGGCGAGUGGCGGACGGGUGAGGAAUACAUCGGAAUCUACUUUUUCGUGGGGGAUAACGUAGGGAAACUUACGCUAAUACCGCAUACGACCUACGGGUGAAAGCAGGGGAUCUUCGGACCUUGCGCGAUUGAAUGAGCCGAUGUCGGAUUAGCUAGUUGGCGGGGUAAAGGCCCACCAAGGCGACGAUCCGUAGCUGGUCUGAGAGGAUGAUCAGCCACACUGGAACUGAGACACGGUCCAGACUCCUACGGGAGGCAGCAGUGGGGAAUAUUGGACAAUGGGCGCAAGCCUGAUCCAGCCAUACCGCGUGGGUGAAGAAGGCCUUCGGGUUGUAAAGCCCUUUUGUUGGGAAAGAAAAGCAGCAGGUUAAUACCCCGCUGUUCUGACGGUACCCAAAGAAUAAGUACCGGCUAACUUCGUA